GUCCACGCCGUAAACGAUGUCGACUUGGAGGUUGUGCCCUUGAGGCGUGGCUUCCGGAGCUAACGCGUUAAGUCGACCGCCUGGGGAGUACGGCCGCAAGGUUAAAACUCAAAUGAAUUGACGGGGCCCGCACAAGCGGUGGAGCAUGUGGUUUAAUUCGAUGCAACGCGAAGAACCUUACCUGGCCUUGACAUGUUUGGAAUCCUGCAGAGAUGCGGGAGUGCCUUCGGGAAUCAGAACACAGGUGCUGCAUGGCUGUCGU
RNAcentral lists this ribosomal RNA (262 nucleotides) under uncultured bacterium. RNAcentral's name for it is "partial 16S ribosomal RNA". It matches the Rfam family "Bacterial small subunit ribosomal RNA", at positions 793 to 1055 of the family's 1533-position model. The record is from RNAcentral.